GCCACCGUUAUUACCUUCGUAAUUUAUGUGAUGAAGUUCGCUUUCCUAAUUGGCCAAUUGUUGAACACAUUGAAUUCUUGCAAUCGCUGCUGGUUAUGUGGCGAGAAGAGUUAACUCGGAGACCCAUGGAUCUUUCUGAAGAAGAGGCUUGCAAAAUAUUGGAGAUUUCUUUGGAUGAGGUGUCAAGAGAUGAUACUCCCAAAAGACAAUCAGAGGAGACAGUUAAUAUCUCUAAACAGAUUGAGAACAUUGACGAAGAAAAGCUCAAGCGACAAUAUCGAAAACUUGCAAUGAAGUAUCAUCCAGACAAAAAUCCCGAGGGUAGGGAAAAAUUUCUGGCAGUGCAGAAAGCUUACGAACGGCUGCAGGCUACAAUGCAAGGACUGCAAGGUCCACAGGUUUGGAGAUUAUUGCUUUUAUUGAAGGGACAAUGUAUUUUGUACAGACGACAUGGAGAUGUAUUGGAGCCAUUUAAAUAUGCUGGUUAUCCAAUGUUAUUAAAUGCAAUCACCGUGGAUAAAGACGACAACAAUUUCCUUUCUUCUGAUCGAGCAUCUCUUCUUGUUGCUGCAUCUGAAUUAAUAUGGCUAACGUGUGCAUCGUCUUCACUAAAUGGUGAAGAACUUGUAAGGGAUGG
RNAcentral lists this unclassified non-coding RNA (637 nucleotides) under Hevea brasiliensis (rubber tree). The record is from RNAcentral. Lineage: Eukaryota; Viridiplantae; Streptophyta; Magnoliopsida; Malpighiales; Euphorbiaceae.